Molecule: long non-coding RNA, 3132 nt
Organism: Corvus hawaiiensis (hawaiian crow)
Lineage: Eukaryota; Metazoa; Chordata; Aves; Passeriformes; Corvidae
Exons: 2
Source: RefSeq, a predicted model, not a curated record
GUGGGGGUGAGGUGGGAGGGAGGGGGAGCAGCCACGGCCCCUGAGCACUGUCAGUCCCAAUGGGAAAGGGAAAACAGGGAUAAAUAAUCCCCCUGUGCCAGAUGCGGGCUGGUGCGGCCGUGGGAGGGGACGCGGUGCCUCGCUCUGCUGGGCUUUGUGCCGCUCACAAGCGAGUGCCCGGCGGUGGAAUGAGAUGGGUUUUUAAGGAUGUGGACCAUCUGUAGGGUCCUGGAAUGCUCCGGGACUCCACGUGCUGGCGUGCGCGGAGCACAUGCGUGCGGGGAGGAGCUGCAAGGCUGCGUUGCCAGAAACGCGCCGAGGACAGCUCCAGGGCGGCUGCAGGAGCGGCCGGGAGCGAGCAUUCCCUCCCAGGAACAGCCUCCACCCGCGGAUCCCGUUUUCUCCUCCAUCAGGGUUCACUGCCGGGGUCACUCUGGCUUUGAGCAUCCCGGGAAAUGCCGUUUCCACCCUCGGGACUGUGUCCCUAACACACCUUCCGUGCUUUCCCUUACGGCACCUCUUUUCCUGCCACGCUCUGAUAAUUAACAGCUCUAAAUCACUCCUGGUGCUCCGGGCGUUGGCACCGCAGAGGGUUUCCCCUCUAGGGGUGGUUUUGGGGGAGCUGCCGUGCCCAGGCUCCGGGUCCCUCCGUGGGCAGGGCAGAGGAGCCGGGCAGAGGCAGCUGCAGCCUGGCAGGGCUCCCAAAGCAGCGUCGCUGGGAGAUCUCAGGGAUAAACCAGCACCUGCCUCUGCCUGGUGGCUUCCUUCCAGUGAGCCCUCUGCAGCAGGAGGGGCUGGUGGCACUGGGACGUGCACACAGCAAAGGCUUUGCUGUGCCCUGAGCCUUGGUUUGGCACCUCAUCCCCAAAGCCCGGGAUCUGGGCGUGUGUUUAAUGCCAUAUUCCUUGUAGGAAUGGGUUAAAGCCACAGGGGUAGGUGGUGGUGGCACAAGGCUUCAGGGACUUGUCUCCAGCUCUUUAUCAGCCCCUGGCUCUCCUUUUCUCCCUCCUGUGCUCCCGAGGGAUUUCCAGGAGUUUAUCUGCUGUGUCCUUGAGAAAGGAAAGGAAUAAUCCAUGCCAGGCCUGGAUGGAGGGAAUUCUGCUGCCUGCUGCAAAGCCCAGGGAAAGGAAUAAAAUUCCAUGACCUUCAGCGGAUGGGGUACAGGGAGUGGCACUGGGGUGGAAGCAGAUCCUCUAAGGAAGGAGGUUCCCCCGGAAGAUCUCCUGUUCCUGCAUCUGCACUCUCCUUCCCCACCCGUGGCUGCCCCAGGAACAUCCCACCCCUCACACGGACAGGAUGCCCUCCCCAGGAGGUCACCACGAGCUGAGGACUGCACAGAUUUGGCAGCUUUGGGGUUUUCCUCACCCAGCUGGAAGCAUUGAAGGUUGGUGUGGGCAGCUCCUGGCCCAAAUCCCACAAUCCCAACGGCCCCAUCCCACUGGGUUUAGUGCCUGUUGGAUCAGAGACUGAGUAAACUCCCAGUUUUUUGGUCUAUUACCCUCUUAGCAUUUAAAAAUAGAGCUGUUACUAAGCAAUGGCAGCGAGCAGAAAGCCAGGCCUAUUGAGGAUCCUUCCUGGGAACAGGUAUUUUUCCCAGCCCAAGUGCUGUAAACAUUGUGGGAUGAGGAAUUAUGAAUCAGAGCCUUCCCUCCCUCCCAUCCCCACCGCUGCUCCCCCAUUAUCCCCAAAACCAGCGGCAGCAACAUCAGGAACUGUUUGUUUCCCCUCUGCCUUGGUCUGCAGGGCAGAUUUCCCAACCUUUCCACACAUCUUUCCAGAUAAAAAGGAAAAGAAGAGGGAUGACAUUGCCAUGGAGUGGGGGAACCACGGGGGCAGGAGCUGCAGGAGUCCCAGCACCGCCAAGGCCACCCCUGCCCACGUCCCCAAGUGCCACAUCCACAGUGAAACCCCUCCAGCGAUGGGGACUCACCCACCCACUGCUUCUCCAGCUCCUUUCCCAUCCUGGGGCUCAGUAUCCCUGCACAGAGCCAAGAGCAGCACUGGUGGGCAAGGACAAUAUAUGGAAUUAAUACAGAGAUGAAGAGAAAUUGGAAAACCAGCUGUAAUUUCCCCACACGGGGUUCAAAUCCUUGUCAGCCCCAGCAGCUCUCCCGAAUCCCUCACGGAUUUAUGGCAGCAGAAAAACUUUUGCAGUGGGCUUUUAGGACCAGCUUUGGGAUAAAGUCUCUUCUGACAGGGUUAGAAUAGGGCAGGAAUUCUCAUUAAAUACAAGAAGUGACAUUUUCAAUUAAGCAAGAGGAAGAAAGCAGCUGAGAAUUGAUAGGCCUGCUCCAGAAAAUGGGGAGAAACGUCAUAAAAAAUGGGAAGGUGCAGCUGGAGAAGCCUGGGUAUUAAAAAUCACACUCAUACAUUCAAAUUAUCCAAAGGAAUGAUGGAUUUGUCCCUACUCCAGGCUCUUUUGAGUCAAAAUAAUCAGGAAUGCAGCAGUGGAGAGGCUGAGCUUGGCUUUCCCCAUGUGCCAUGUGGGAUGGGGAGGCUCAGCCCAUCCCAACAGUUCUUUGGGAAUCCAGAGCUCCUCUCACUUUUAGCAGCAGGAUUUCAGGAUUCCUGGCCCUCCAUUAAAUGGAGGAUUUGGGAUUUGGGGCCGGAAUUAGGGCACUUGUGGAGCCACACGUGCAGGGCUGGAAGGCAGCGAGGUGUGAUGGCUCCAUGUGCUCCAGGAGCAGCACUCCCCUUGGACUGGCUCAUGGAAUUACUGAAUAGGAUAACGUGAGGAAAACUGCGAACAAAUCAUUCCCCAGUCCAAUUCCUGCAUCUCCUUGUUUGCCAACCACACAGGGAUGGGGCUUCUUUCCUGGGAAGUCCCCGAGUUCAGUUUAGAGGCUGCAACUUAGAGGGGACCUGGUGGGAAUGCUCUCAACCCUUCUGUUUGCUCCAGAGGGGACCAUAAUCUGGGAAUAGGGAAUGGCAGGAACCCAGGUUCCAUUUGCCCCAGUGCUGGAAUCCUCCUCUGUCCCAGGGACACGGAUGACUCCACACAUUCCCCCUCAACCCCAGCAGCCAGGAGCUCCCACUGCUCCGGGAUCCAGCAGCUGCUCGCAGCUACGGAUUCUGCCCAGCUCUGUUGUUCCCCUCUUUGGCCAAAGUAAAACCUUUUUAAUUCCCCCCCAA